UGGUAGUCCGCACGAGCGCAACCCUACUUGUUAGUUGCCAUCAUUCAGUUGGGCACUCUAGCGAGACUGCCGGUAAUAAACCGGAGGAAGGUGGGGAUGACGUCAAAUCAUCAUGCCCCUUAUGACCUGGGCUACACACGUGCUACAAUGGUUGGUACAACGAGUUGCGAGUCGGUGACGGCGAGCUAAUCUCUUAAAGCCAAUCUCAGUUCGGAUUGUAGGCUGCAACUCGCCUACAUGAAGUCGGAAUCGCUAGUAAUCGCGGAUCAGCACGCCGCGGUGAAUACGUUCCCGGGCCUU
RNAcentral lists this ribosomal RNA (300 nucleotides) under uncultured Streptococcus sp. RNAcentral's name for it is "bacterial SSU rRNA". It matches the Rfam family "Bacterial small subunit ribosomal RNA", at positions 1077 to 1382 of the family's 1533-position model. The record is from RNAcentral. Lineage: Bacteria; Bacillati; Bacillota; Bacilli; Lactobacillales; Streptococcaceae.